Molecule: non-coding RNA, 310 nt
Organism: Pelobates cultripes (western spadefoot toad)
Lineage: Eukaryota; Metazoa; Chordata; Amphibia; Anura; Pelobatidae
Source: the annotation of a GenBank genome assembly
UCAUUGGGGUAGCCCCCAAAGUAUUGGGAUGUAUAAAAAAAAGACAACUCUGUUCCGCAGAGUAGAUGUUGACAUUAUAGUUGCGCAGGAACUUUAUUGACUCUAAAGAACCUCGGGCAAAUCGCACAUCACCGUGCGGAUGUCAUCCAUAUCAACUUUCGAUGCCAGUUUCUGCGCCUACCAUGGUGACCACGAGUAACGGGGAAUCAGGGUUCCAUUCCGUACAGGGACCCUGAGAAAUGGCUACCACAUGCAAGGAAGGCAGCAGGCGUGCAAAUGACCCACUCCCGACGCGGGAUGGUAGUGAUGA